Molecule: long non-coding RNA, 1468 nt
Organism: Homo sapiens (human)
Lineage: Eukaryota; Metazoa; Chordata; Mammalia; Primates; Hominidae
Source: Ensembl
UACUCACUAUCAGAAGUUCUCUGUUUUGAAAAAAGAAUAACUGAUGUGAUAAAUUUAUGUAAUUUAACAAUUAAUCUACCUCACGUGCUUGUAGGUAUGUAUUCAUUUCGUACCACCGUAGUGGAAGAGAGACUAUCCCUAUCAAUACACCUGGUAACAUUCCCAACAGUAAGUCGUGAGAUUCUGCUUGAAAUCACCUCUCAGACAAAUAAAAAACAGUCCUGGGAAAUGUACGACACUCAUUCUGCUAAAGAAAUAGGCAUCAUAGCUGGGGAACAGAUUCAAAAGACCCAGGCUGUUCCCUACAUAUGUUUCCUCCUCAGACAUCAGUUAAUCAGUCAAUCAAGUCAAGUGAGAGUGGAGGCCAUGUAUUCCCUCUUAUUCUUGGGCACUCUCCUCCAAGGAGGAAAAGGCCAGGAGGUCCUGUUAGAGGAUGCACUCAGAGCCCGGGCUCCCUAAGGUAUGAGAGUUCUAACCAGCAGGUGUAGACUUUUCAGGAGUGAGGAAUGAGGCAGGCAUUCCAAACCUGGAGCUUCAUCACCUUUUGUUUCAUCUCAAGACAAUUCUGAGGGGCUGUUUUGGAGCGUGUCUGGAAGGUGAACGUUGAAGAAGAGUGUGGGCUUUGAUGUGACUCAGAUGAGAUCUUUCAUGGGGAGGCAGGAAUUCAAUGCCCAGAAUCUGGGCUGGUGUCUUUGAGGUCAGUAGGUUGCCUCUUUGUAUCCAAGUCCAUUGUUACUAAAUUGGAGGCUGGAGAUUCUAAAUGGCUUCCAGACCAUCUCUCUGAUUCUCUUUGGGAGAUUGGGUCUGAAAAAGACAAUGUCAGUAUUUUUGGGAAAUUCUAGAAAGUCUGCUUGGAAACCUGGGAAGACCUCUUGCCUAGUGCCUAAAUAUUCAAUGUGCAGCUCUAGCCAUGUAGAUGCUUGGUAGGUAUAGAGCUGGGUUUUCAUUUAUAUCAGCAAAACCUAUGUCAGAGUUGAAGAAGUAGUCAAGACAAAGUGUCUUGGUCGCAGGCCGGGGAACAUCUUAAAAGCAAACUUCUAGCCUGAUGACUCUUGGCAAUGAGUGUUGGGUCCUGGCUAAAGUGCCUUGAAUGCAGCAUGAGGCCAAUCCAUGAAUCCAACUUCCAAUGGAGAAAUGUUAAUAUUUUUUCAGUUUGAAUCAAUCAGGGUGAAAUUACCUUGCUAUUGGUUUGCUUACUUUUUAUUAUUUCAUAUAAAAUCUAAGACAAAAUACAUUAAAUGCUUAUUGAUAUAUGUAUUUAUUCUUCACCUGGCUCAUAAUAUUUGCCUAAUUUUAAACUUUCUUCUAUUUUGUAGGUUUCAACUUAUUUCAUUGUAAGAUAUUGUUAAAUCUAAUACGGGCAUUGUCACUUUUACAAAUAAUUUUAUUUUAUUUCAUGUAUUUCCUAUUCACUUUUUACAUUUAAAUUAUGGACCAUUUCAUCAUAUAAAAAGCUCCAUUUCUAUUU